GUGCUCUGCUCAAUGAGGGGGAUCCACGAAUGAGUCUGGAUAGGUCAGGGGUCUGCAUGCUCCCAGUCGGAUUUCCGGGUCAGAGUGGAGAGGGCACAUAUAUGGGAGUGACUGGUGGGACCUUGAGGCGGGGGCUCGAAGAGCAUGGAAGCGAUAUUGAAGCUAGCAGAAUAGCAACUGCCUUGGCAGAACAAGCUUAUGCUAACCAUAUUGAUAAGCAGGUUGAAUGGGACCAGGUGGAAAUAAUGAAGACGAUUUAGUUGACGUCGCAAGCAGUAAUCCAAGAGACUGUUUAAAUUUGGAAGAGAGGAGGGGACCA
RNAcentral lists this long non-coding RNA (319 nucleotides) under Androctonus crassicauda. The record is from RNAcentral. Lineage: Eukaryota; Metazoa; Arthropoda; Arachnida; Scorpiones; Buthidae.